RNAcentral lists this ribosomal RNA (326 nucleotides) under Ophiocordyceps unilateralis. Its description in RNAcentral is "partial 18S ribosomal RNA". It matches the Rfam family "Eukaryotic small subunit ribosomal RNA", at positions 1073 to 1414 of the family's 1831-position model. Lineage: Eukaryota; Fungi; Ascomycota; Sordariomycetes; Hypocreales; Ophiocordycipitaceae. The record is from RNAcentral.
GACUCGCUCGGNCACCNUUCCGAGAAAUNCAAAGUGCUUGGGNCUCCAGGGGGGAGUAUGGUUCGCAAGGCUGAAACUUAAAGAAAUUGACGGAAGGGCACCACCAGGGGUGGAGCCUGCGGCUUAAUUUGACUCAACACGGGGAAACCUACCAGGUCCAGACACAAUGAGGAUUGANNNNNUGAUAGCUCUUUCUUGAUUUUGUGGGUGGUGGUGCAUGGCCGUUCUUAGUUGGUGGAGUGAUUUGUCUGCUUAAUUGCGAUAACGAACGAGACCUUAACCUGCUAAAUAGCCCGCGCCGCUCCGGCGGCGCGCCGGCUUCUUAG